Long non-coding RNA from Cebus imitator (Panamanian white-faced capuchin), 648 nucleotides. RefSeq lists it as uncharacterized. Lineage: Eukaryota; Metazoa; Chordata; Mammalia; Primates; Cebidae. The transcript has 3 exons. The record is from RefSeq and is a predicted model, not a curated record.
UGCAAUGCUGUAUGUGCUCUGGUGAUUCCACUGGUGUUUCCCUUUAGUUGAAGGGAGAUGUAGUGAUCAUUCCAAGUGGGAGUGAGCCAUCAAGCAUCCCAGCCACUGGCUUUUGAUAAACUAGAGCCCUGUGAUCUUCCUGGCUCAUAAUAUGAUGUAAUCUGUACCAGCUCCUCACACCAAUCCACUGAUACAGGGGGAAAGAGAGCAAAGACCAAACAAGCAGAAGACCUCUUCUUCUGGUUAGAACGCUUGUUAAGAGCAGUGGGAGGCAAGAAAUCUUGGAUGACCUGAACUCCAGAGAGAAGUGAGCCCACUAUGUGGUACAAGCUGCUUCCCUGUCCUGACAGCACAACAAAAGCUACAAACUCGGGGAACAUGGGGACCUCACGGAGGCAGUCACAGCUGACUCAUUGAGAUGUGCAGAUAGCAGAAAGCGAGGGAGGCAAGAGAAAAUCAGCACAGAGCCAACAUCAGAGAUCAAAGGACAGUAGCGGAAGUCACUGCACGGAGAAGUAGCGCACCUGUGGCUUAUCCAAGCAGCCAGGGUUCCAGAGCUUCUAGGCUAGAGCUCUGAAAUAUUCACCAAACAGUUGGCAACUUUGCCUUUUGCAUGGGAAAUAAAUGAAAACGAAUCUUGGCCAUCUA